RNAcentral lists this transfer RNA (65 nucleotides) under Dipodomys ordii (Ord's kangaroo rat). It matches the Rfam family "tRNA". Rfam says of the family: Transfer RNA (tRNA) molecules are approximately 80 nucleotides in length. Their secondary structure includes four short double-helical elements and three loops (D, anti-codon, and T loops). Lineage: Eukaryota; Metazoa; Chordata; Mammalia; Rodentia; Heteromyidae. The record is from Rfam by way of RNAcentral.
GGUGGCUCAAUGGUAGAGCGCUUGCCUUGCAUGCACGAGGCCCUGGGUUCGAUUCCUCGGCACCA